Molecule: ribosomal RNA, 590 nt
Filed under: uncultured bacterium
Lineage: Bacteria
Description: bacterial SSU rRNA
Rfam family: Bacterial small subunit ribosomal RNA
Source: RNAcentral
GCGAGUCGCGCGAGAUUGUAGCAUACAAGGACAGCGGCGAAAGGGAGAGGAUUCAUGGGAAUCUGCCCUGGGGACGAGGAUAGCGUCGGGAAACUGACGGUAAUACUCGAUAAUGUUUGCGGACCAAAGGUGAGAUUCCGCCCCAGGAUGAGCCCAUGCCCCAUUAGCUAGUUGGCAGGGUAAUGGCCUACCAAGGCUAUGAUGGGUAGCUGGUGUGAGAGCAUGACCAGCCUCACUGGCACUGAGACACUGGCCAGACACCUACGGGUGGCUGCAGUCGAGAAUCUUCGGCAAUGGACGAAAGUCUGACCGAGCGACGCCGCGUGCGGGAUGAAGGCCUUCGGGUUGUAAACCGCUGUCGUAGGGGAUCAAAUUUACGAGGGUUCUCCCUUGUAUUUGAGAGAUCCUAGGAGGAAGGAGAGGCUAAGCUCGUGCCAGCAGCCGCGGUAAGACGAGCUCUCCAAACGUUAUUCGGUUUCACUGGGCUUAGAGAGUUCGUAAGCGGCUUUGUAGGUGAGGUGUGAAAGCCCUCGGCUUAACCGAGGAACUGCGCUUCAAACCGCGAGGCUAGAGGGAUAUAGGGGUAAGCG